Molecule: long non-coding RNA, 352 nt
Filed under: Mytilus galloprovincialis (Mediterranean mussel)
Lineage: Eukaryota; Metazoa; Mollusca; Bivalvia; Mytilida; Mytilidae
Source: RNAcentral
CAUGAUCAUGCAUACCUGUCAACUGACCCGUAUUCUGCGGGUGUGACCCGAGAUUUUCACAAUUCUGAGGGAUCACCCGGAACACCCGCCGGGUCAUUGAAAUAACCCGGGAAUUCCGAAAAUGACCCGAUUUCACCCGUAUUUCUUAGCCUUGAGAUUGAUUUCAUAAGUAAUAUUCCUUUGAAAUACCGGCAAAUUUGUAAUUCUUCCAUGAACAGGAAGUUCAUCUAGCUAUGUAAACUGUCAAAUUAAGUGACCCAUUAAGUGCAUGGCUUCACUUGACAGCUUUGGUGUCAAACACACUGUUAAUUAACACCAAUUACCUUAGCUUUAGGUCGUAAAUAAAUUGCAC